Long non-coding RNA from Myodes glareolus (Bank vole), 1713 nucleotides. RefSeq lists it as uncharacterized. Lineage: Eukaryota; Metazoa; Chordata; Mammalia; Rodentia; Cricetidae. The record is from RefSeq and is a predicted model, not a curated record.
UCCCCGACCUUCUCACUUCAGAAAGCGGAGGCCUCUGUGGACUCAGGCACUGAUUGAGUAAUACUGGGCCAACAUUCCCGAUGUGCCCCGUAAGACUGUGGGUGGCGUUUGUGCCUUCUCAUGGGCCGUUAAUACCCAUUUGCCACCCGCUCGUCAUUAACGCUUCCUCGUGCCCGACCUCUUGGAGGCGCUGGAGACUCGGAUGCGACAGCCAAAGCUCUUCAGGCCUUGGUGGAAAACUUUACCUGAGCAUCUCAUACGUCAUGGAUACAGAGGUGAAAAUUCGAAGUCUGACCUGGCGUGUAAACUGCAAAGAGCAUACUUGAGCUGUGUGGAGGGAGAAUGGCUCCGUGGUUAAGAGCGCUUGCUGCUCUGACAGAGGACCCAAGUACGGAGCUCAGCUCAGCAACCACAACAGGUGGUUCACAGCCUCCUUUAUGUCCAGCUCCAGCAUAUCCAAUGAUUUGGUCCUCUGCAGGCAGACAGAAAGACAGACCGACACACACAGAGAAAAGCAAAAUAUUUUUAAAAUGUUAAAGAGAAAAAGCAAAACACAGAGACACCUUUAAUCCCAGCACUCUGGCCUCAACUGCCUAUGCUCCAAGGAUGACCUCACUCAGUAUCCUCCUGCCUCCAUCUCCCAAGUGCUGGGUUUGCAGGCUUGUGCUACCUCAGCCUGCUGAUUGCCAUAUGUUUUUAUUUCUCUCAAAUAUUUGAAAUUAGAACUGUGGCUUUGCUGUUGGCUCUGCUGCUGUGGUUACCCAUGUUUCUGUUUUUUGUUUUUAACUGACAAACUGUUUCUGAAAGUGACGGCACCAUUUAACAUUCCCAUUGGGAGUGGAGGAAAGUUCCAGAUGCCCCACAUGUUCCCAACGAGAUAUAAAUACAUUCAGAAGAAAUAAACAAGAGAAUUGCAGUCCUGUCUCCUGGAAACAAUCACUGUCCUCACUGGGAAGGAUUGAACCCUGGUCACCAGGCUUGGCAGCAAGCACCUGUACCCUCAGAGCCAUCUCACUUUGUAUUCUGGAGCAGGGAGUGACUCUAUAGAUCCCUGGCAACACCUUCUCUUCUUCCACCCACCUUCUCCAACACUCCUGGGACAAAGGCACAAGCCCUGGUAUGUCUGGAGGCCAGAAGACAGCUGCAGGAGCUUCUUUUCUCCCUCCACCAAGUGGGAUCCAGGGGUCAGACCCAGGUCAUUGGGUCCUCUGGCAAGCCCAUUUAUCCAGUGAGCCAUCUUGCUAGACCCUACAGUACAUAAAUCUUUAGUGUAUUGCCCAAUGCUAAAAUUACCUAACUGCUCCAUUGAGCCAUAUUCAUGCCAUAUAAUUUCACCCAUUUCUAGUGUGCCAUACUUGAAAACGUUUUUUAAGAAAUGUAUUAGCUGGGGCAGGGUGUGGUGGUGCACACCUUUAUUCCCAGUGCUUGGGAGGCAGAGACAGGCAGAUCUCUGUAAGUUCAAGUUCAGCCUGGUCUACAGAGCAAGUUCCAGGACAGCCAGGGCUACAAAGAGAAACGUGGUCAAACCAUUCCUGGCCCCCAAAGAAACAGCACUGCCUCCUUCACCCUUUAUCGCCUUUAACUUGUUCCCCUGGCCUUGCCUGGGCAUUUCUUGCUAAAAGAAGCAUAAAAUCAGCCCAGCUCUGUGGCUGGAUUUAUUUGAUUUAUUAUUUCUUGUGUGUAAGUGUGUGUGAGUAUUGCAUAAAUAUGUUU